GUAUGUGGAUGAUGAGAACAUAAAUCCAUACAGUUAUCCCUGUCUGAGUGCAAUUGGGUGCUGAUAGAUCUUGAUCUGACACAAUC
Dendrobium catenatum is the source of this 86-nucleotide small nucleolar RNA. RefSeq annotates it as small nucleolar RNA R38. The transcript has a single exon. The record is from RefSeq and is a predicted model, not a curated record. Lineage: Eukaryota; Viridiplantae; Streptophyta; Magnoliopsida; Asparagales; Orchidaceae.